AGGACGAACGCUGGCGGCGUGCUUAACACAUGCAAGUGGAGCGACGAACCAGGCUUCGGCCUGGGGCAGAGCCGCGAACGGGUGAGUAACACGUGGGUAACCUGCCUCGAUGACCGGGACAACCCGAGGAAACCCGGGCUAAUACCGGAUGUGCUCCUUCACAUCAGUGAAGACAGGAAAGGAGCUUCGGCCUCCGCAUCGAGAUGGGCCCGCGGCCCAUUAGCUUGUUGGUGAGGUAACGGCUCACCAAGGCUGCGAUGGGUAGC
Molecule: ribosomal RNA, 266 nt
Filed under: uncultured bacterium
Lineage: Bacteria
Description: partial small subunit ribosomal RNA
Rfam family: Bacterial small subunit ribosomal RNA
Source: RNAcentral